AAGGAUGUGGAGUUGCAUAGACAACUAGGAUGUUGGCUCAGAAGCAGCCACCAUUUAAAGAGUGCGUAAUAGCUCACUAGUCGAGUGAUUCUGCGCCGAAAAUGUACCGGGGCUUAAACAUAUUACCGAGACUGUGGAUGCCACCAUUAGGUGGCGUGAUAGGAGAGCGUUCUAAGGGCAAUGAAGGCAGACCGUGAGGACUGUUGGAGCGCUUAGAAGUGAGAAUGCCGGUAUGAGUAGCGAAAGAUAGGUGAGAAUCCUAUCCACCGUAUGACUAAGGUUUCCUGGGGAAGGCUCGUCCUCCCAGGGUUAGUCGGGACCUAAGCCGAGGCCGAGAGGCGUAGGCGAUGGAUAACAGGUUGAUAUUCCUGUACUAGUUAAACUUGUUUGAACAAUGGAGGGACGCAGUAGGCUAAGGAAAGCACCCAGCUGGAAAAGGGUGUCCAAGCAGUAAGUCUGAAGUAGAGUCAAAUGCUUUACUUCUUAAGGACAAGCUGUGAUGGGGAGCGAAAUUUAAGUAGCGAAGUUCCUGACGUCACACUGCCGAGAAAAGCUUCUAGUUAGAGUUUAGCUACCCGUACCGCAAACCGACACAGGUAGUCGAGGAGAGUAUCCUAAGGUGAGCGAGAGAACUCUCGUUAAGGAACUCGGCAAAAUGACCCCGUAACUUCGGGAGAAGGGGUGCUGAUCGCAAGAUCAGCCGCAGUGAAAAGGCCCAGGCGACUGUUUAUCAAAAACACAGGUUUCUGCAAAAUCGUAAGAUGACGUAUAGGGGCUGACGCCUGCCCGGUGCUGGAAGGUUAAGGGAAUGAGUUAGCGUAAGCGAAGCUCUGAACUGAAGCCCCAGUAAACGGCGGCCGUAACUAUAACGGUCCUAAGGUAGCGAAAUUCCUUGUCGGGUAAGUUCCGACCCGCACGAAAGGCGUAACGAUCUGGGCACUGUCUCAACGAGAGACUCGGUGAAAUUAUAAUACCCGUGAAGAUGCGGGUUACCCGCGACAGGACGGAAAGACCCCAUGGAGCUUUACUGUAACUUGAUAUUGAGUGUUUGUACAGCUUGUACAGGAUAGGUAGGAGCCGUAGAAUCCGGAACGCUAGUUUCGGAGGAGGCAAUGGUGGGAUACUACCCUCGUUGUAUGAACCCUCUAACCCGCGCCACUAAUCGUGGCGGGAGACAGUGUCUGGUGGGCAGUUUGACUGGGGCGGUCGCCUCCUAAAGAGUAACGGAGGCGCCCAAAGGUUCCCUCAGAAUGGUUGGAAAUCAUUCGUAGAGUGUAAAGGCAGAAGGGAGCUUGACUGCGAGACAGACAGGUCGAGCAGGGACGAAAGUCGGGCUUAGUGAUCCGGUGGUACCGUAUGGAAGGGCCAUCGCUCAACGGAUAAAAGCUACCCUGGGGAUAACAGGCUUAUCUCCCCCAAGAGUUCACAUCGACGGGGAGGUUUGGCACCUCGAUGUCGGCUCAUCGCAUCCUGGGGCUGUAGUCGGUCCCAAGGGUUGGGCUGUUCGCCCAUUAAAGCGGUACGCGAGCUGGGUUCAGAACGUCGUGAGACAGUUCGGUCCCUAUCCGUCGCGGGCGUAGGAAAUUUGAGAGGCGCUGUCCUUAGUACGAGAGGACCGGGAUGGACACACCGCUGGUGUACCAGUUGUUCCGCCAGGAGCAUCGCUGGGUAGCUAUGUGUGGAUGAGAUAAACGCUGAAAGCAUCUAAGUGUGAAACUCACCUCGAGAUUAGAUUUCCCAUUGCCUUCGGGCAAGUAAGACCCCUGAAAGAUGAUCAGGUAGAUAGGCUAGAAGUGGAAGUGUAGUGAUACAUGGAGCGGACUAGUACUAAUCGGUCGAGGACUUAACCAA
Molecule: ribosomal RNA, 1851 nt
Filed under: Pediococcus pentosaceus
Lineage: Bacteria; Bacillati; Bacillota; Bacilli; Lactobacillales; Lactobacillaceae
Description: partial 23S ribosomal RNA
Rfam family: Bacterial large subunit ribosomal RNA
Source: RNAcentral